AUUGAACGCUGGCGGCAUGCCUUACACAUGCAAGUCGAACGGUAACAGGUCUUCGGAUGCUGACGAGUGGCGAACGGGUGAGUAAUACAUCGGAACGUGCCCGAUCGUGGGGGAUAACGGAGCGAAAGCUUUGCUAAUACCGCAUACGAUCUACGGAUGAAAGCAGGGGACCGCAAGGCCUUGCGCUAUCAGAUGAGCCUAGGUCGGAUUAGCUAGUAGGUGAGGUAAUGGCUCACCUAGGCGACGAUCCGUAACUGGUCUGAGAGGAUGAUCAGUCACACUGGAACUGAGACACGGUCCAGACUCCUACGGGAGGCAGCAGUGGGGGAAUAUUGGACAAUGGGCGAAGCCUGAUCCAGCCAUGCCGCGUGUGUGAAGAAGGUCUUCGGAUUGUAAAGCACUUUAAGUUGGGUAGGAAGGGUAGUAACCUAAUACGUUGCUACUUUGACGUUACCGACAGAAUAAGACACCGGC
RNAcentral lists this ribosomal RNA (474 nucleotides) under uncultured bacterium. RNAcentral describes it as "bacterial SSU rRNA". It matches the Rfam family "Bacterial small subunit ribosomal RNA", at positions 30 to 497 of the family's 1533-position model. The record is from RNAcentral.